GCAAGUCGAGCGAGACGAAGAAAAAGCUUGCUUUUUCUUCUGACAGCGGCGGACGGCUGAGUAACACGUUGGAACGUGCCUUUCAUUCAGGGAUAGCCCAGAGAAAUCUGGAGUAAUACCGGAUACCCCAGCAAUGGGAAAGCGUUUAGCGAUGAAAGAGCGGCCUGCGGCCCAUUAGUUUGUUGGUGAGGUAAUGGCUCACCAAGACUACGAUGGGUACCUGGUGUGAGAGCAUGACC
Molecule: ribosomal RNA, 239 nt
Filed under: uncultured bacterium
Lineage: Bacteria
Description: partial 16S ribosomal RNA
Rfam family: Bacterial small subunit ribosomal RNA
Source: RNAcentral